AACCAAAUUUUUUAUAAAACGUUUGGGGUUCAUUUCAAAAAAAAAAAAACAAAAGGGGAAUUGUUUCAAAAAUCACCAAACAUAAGAGUGUUUUAACCAAAAAAAAUCCAAAAAAUUAAAAUAAACCUUAUAAGGAAGUCAACAAAAAGACUCACACGCUGACCCACUCUCCGAAACCGCGUCAAAUUUAAUACCGUUGUAUACCGCCUCAUCAUAACCGACAUACUUACCGCUAUUAUAAAUAAUCUCCUCCCCCCUCCUCCUCAGUCCUCACUGUUUUUUAUGCCCUAAUUUUAUAGGUACGCCUUCUUUCUGUCGUAAUUAAUUUCAUCUCGAUUUCUGAAUUUCCGAUUUGCGUUCUUGCAUCGCUCCUUCAAUUUACGUUUUCGAUUGAUGGUUAUAUUUUAUUCUCGCAUGAUUUGUGAUUGGAAAAUCGGCAAGUUUUCUCAAGUAGUUUCAAGUGAAUUUUGUUUUUCAUGGUUCGAAAUUCUGCGGAUUUCUCUUCGAUUUGCUGAUGAUCAAGUUUCUUUUUCCUCUUUAUGAAAUUCUGCGGAUUUCUCUUCGAUUUGCUGAUGAUCAAGUUUUUUUUCCUCUUUUUGGAGAGUUUGGCGUAUGUUCGUAAUUCGUUUUAUGAUGUUGCAGUAAUUUGAUAAUGUCAUCGAUUUAUCUUUUGUUCUACGCGAUUCUGGAAAAUCAUAAAUUCGAUUAAGAAUGGUAGUUGUUUUUGUUUGCCACGGGAAAUCAUUAUAACACAAUAUGACUCUUGGAUAGUAAUAAAUCAUUAUUUGGAUGAUUGUGGUCGAUAAUGGUGAUUUGUUACUAUUUGAUACUCAUAUCGUGUUACGGUGUAGGUUGUUAUUUUUCUAUUAGCGUUCGUAUUUAUUAAACUAAGCUGUUUUGUGUUGUGCAGUGUUGGAUAUAUAUUUACUGUUGCAGAUUGAUUUUGAUCUGGGUAUCAUAUCUUGUUAACGAGGGUUUAGUUCUGCUACUUUUGCAUAGUCCAUGUUUCAUGUCUGCUAAUUUUUCUCAAAGGUAGUUAAUGUUUUGGAAUUAGUGAUUGAUGUUUAUAUGUGGUAUUGGUUCUGACUUCUGAAUAGCUAUGAGCACUUUGGCGGUUGAUUCUUAUUGCUUGAGUUCUACCCUACCAAUAAGGAUAUAUCUUUUCCCUUGAUUUGUUGCAUCGUUUUUGUUUUUUCUAAUAAUCUAGAAUCACUCUUCGCUCUCUUUUAACUUCCUGUAGUACGUGUCCUGUCAUCCUAUUGUAUUGAUGAUAUUUUUAUUCCAUUUGGUUUGUGUAUGGUGCUGGACUAUUUAUGUAAGAUUUCUUGGAUCAUUUGAAUCACAAUUACUUGCUUUCUUGUAUGCCCAAUAUUGAUGUCCAUUAUGUUCUCCUUGUCUUGCUGGAUUGAAGUUUCGUAGUAAGAAAUGUACUUGAGUUUCUCUUUUUGUUUCAGUUUCCUCGAUCAGGUUUAAUUGUUUGGUGUGCUUGUAGUUUCUCAUAUGUUUUGGUCAAUGACAGCCUUGGUGCUGUCACAGAACCAUGACUUGGUCUUGAAGCAUAUUAUAGAGGUGGACUUGAAGUGUUAACAAUCGACUAUGCUCUUGCAGCAUAUAAUUGGUAGUUGAAGUGAUGUGUGGUACAAGCUGUAAAUGUUUCUCUCACCGCCUGCGUUCAUGUUUCAAGGACUGUUGUGUGAGUUGUGACUUGGAUUAUUUUUAAUGAGCUGAUCAUUUAUUAUUUAGAUUACUUGUUGGGAUUUCUUGUCUUGCAUAGCUUAUGAUAUUUGUCCAUUUGAUAGUGGGUCAAGUUGAUCUUAUGAUUACAGAUCUUUUGCUUAGAUUUCACUUGGCAUAUUUAGUGGUCUUGACUCUUGAGUUGAUGCUACGUGUGGGAUCUUACUGCUUUUAAUUUUACAGGUCUAAGACUUGUGAUUUAAAGGUUUUUUUUAAUCCUGUUACUGUUUGCCCUGGCCAAAUAUACUUGCUCACCUUGACUCUUGAGUUGAUACUACGUGUGGGAUCUUACCGCUUUUGAUUUUACAGGUCUAAGAGUUGUGAUUUAAAGGUUUUUUUUUUUUUUUUUGAUCCUGUUACUGUUUGCCCUGGCCAAAUAUACUUGCUCACCUCUAGAUGUAUGGAUUCAUCCUUUGACUUCAGGUAUGAUAGGAAAUCUGUAAGUAAAUCAUUUUUUUUGGGGCUUGUAUUGGACAAGAUGUAUGGAUUCAUCCUUUGACUUCAGGUAUGAUAGGAAAUCUGUAAGUAAUUCAUUUUUUUUGGGGUUUGUAUUGGACAAAGCUGGAUGUCUCAAAAUUUUGAAUCUUGGACUUGAUUCAUCCUUUUGCGAAAUGUUAUGGAGUCAUACUCAUGCUGUGGGACGCAUAGUUGAAUUCAGGUGUUGGACUUUGCAACAUGGAAUUUACAUGCAAGCUGGAAAUGAGAAUAUUCGUAUCGGUACUGUCCUAGGCUGACAGAUGUGGACUCUGCUAUACUUGGCAAUCUGGCACGACGGGUAUUGAUUCUUGAGCUUUACGAAUUUGCUCGGUCUUAGUGUUGAUGUAUCAUUUUUAGUUGAGGAGAUAUGGGGUACAUUUUUUUGGAACACAUGCUCGGAUUCUUAUUCUUGUGUUCCUUCUGGAAAUGGUUGUCAACUACGAAAUUAUAUGAUUCCAGAUUGUAGGCUUCUUGAUUUUACUCGGCAGGGAAUUCUUUUUUCUUAUGUCGAGGUGCAUGCUUCCUUGAUUUUCGUGAAAAUUCUAAUUGUUCGAAGGCUAUAUUGGGGUGGUUUUUGGCCCGUGCUUUCGCAGUGUGUAUGCUUUUUGUUGGACUUACGUCCUCUUUAUCUUGCGAAAAAGAACAUAAUUGCUCCAGCAUUUAUAUUUAUGCAGCUUAUGGAUGUAUAUAUAUAUAUCUCUGACAUCGUGAUAGUGUGGGUGGGCAAAUGAUUUUUUUUUUCAUUUUAUUUGCCUUUUGCUUUCCAUAAUUUUGUCAUAUGCUUUAAAUUCUGUUGUUGGCUUAUACCAGCAAUUUUUCAGGGUUCAUGUGUCCGUCUAAGUGCAUUUUAAGGUCUUCAGAUUUUUUUUAUCUGUCAGACUCAUAUUUUUCUGUUAAAGAUCGAUGUUGAUUUGGUAGAGAAUUUUGUUGACUAGUCUUCAGUUAUGCUACUUUUUGCACAGUCAACGUUUCAUGUCUGCUAAUUUGUCUCCAAGGUAGUCUAAUGUUCCGGAAUUCUUGUUUGAUGUUUAUAUGUGGUCUUGGUUCUGAAUAGUUAUGAACACUUUGGCAGUUGAUUCUUAAUGCUGAAGCCUGAAGGAGUGGCUGGCCUUCUACCCUACCAAUCAGGAUAUUUCUUCUCCCUUCUGUUGUUCUAGUAAUCUAGAAUCAUUUGUCGCUGUCUCUUUUAAUUUCCUAUAGUACGCGUCAUGUCAUCCUAUUGUAUUGAUAUUAUUAUGUGUUCUGUUUGGUUUGUGUAUGGUGAGUCCAGAUGGUAGAAAUGAGAAAGUAGAAAGAGGGUCGGGGUCUUGGAUCUGCUGGACUAUUUAUGUAAGAUUUCUAUGUUUUUUAAUUUUUAUGGACUUAGGAAGUUAGUGUAGUUAAAUACUAUUGAUUAUUUCGGUCACAAUUACAGGCUUGAUUUCUUGUAUGCACAAUAUUGAUUUCCAUUAUGAUAUUCUCGUCUUGCUGGAUGGAAGUUUCAUAGUAAGAAAUGUACGUCUGUCUCAUGGUACUCUCUUGUCACUUGAAGGGAGGUUACCCUUCUACGUGAGAUUGAGUUUCUCUAUUUGUUUCAGUUUCCUGCAAGACCAGGUUUAAUUGUUUGAUCCACAUGUAGUUUCCCAUAUUUUUUUGGUCAAUGACGGCCUGGUGCUGUCAGUGUCGUGACUUGAAGCAUAUUGCUGGACUUGAAGUGUUAACAAUAUGCAAUUCCUGCUCUUGCAAGUUGCAGCAUAUACUUGGUAAUUGCAGGGAUUUAUUCAUGUUUCUAUGAUUUUGUGACUAGGUUGUUUUUUAUGGGCCGACAACGUCCAUAGACAGGUUCUCUUAAUUUGAAUUCUGCUGUCUGAAGUUGAGCUUGCUAUCUACCAUGUGCUUCAAUCAUGCCUCAGGUUUUGGGUGAGCUACUAGUUUGAGCCUUACUGCAAACUCUUGACAAUAUCAUAUGUUCUAGGUGACUUAAGAGUUUUGACUGUCUCCAAAUACCCCAUGACUAUCGGAUUUCAUUUUUUAUCCAGUGUAUGCAAGUUGUUCUUCUGUUGUCUUGUCUUGCAAAAAAGAAAAAAUGCUCUAGCAUUCAUAUUUAUGCAGUAUAUUGGAUGCAAUGUCUCUGACAUUGUGGUAUAUUGUGGGUGGGAAAUGAUUCUCUCCCUUUCUUUUCCCCUUAAUAUAUGUCAUAUGCUUUAAACUCUGUUGUUGACUUUUACCAGUGUUUUCAGGGUUCAUUUGUCAGUCUAAGUGCCUUGUAAGGUAUUAUGACGCCUCUUGAUGUUUUUCUCUCUGUUCAUUUCCGUUCUUUCAGACUCAUGCUUUUUUUAGUUUUUGUUGGACAAUUGUGUAUUUUGGACAUGAAAUUGCCUGUUGGAAAUUGUUAUCUUUCUAUGACAGCAGGGGGGUUCUCUCUAGUAGUAGAAAUGAUGACGUAGCAAGCAAAUUGUUGUGUGGGAUUUCCAGCUGCGGGAGUUCUUCUUUAAGUUCUGAAUGGCUUUAGAAAACUUAUGUGGAGUUUAGAAGUUAGUGUAAUCAAACACUAUUGUUCAGUUCCUUCACAAUUACAGGCUUACAGCGUUACAGGAUCAACCUCUUGUAUGCUUAGCAUCGAUGUCUGUUAUGUUAUUCUAGCCUUGCUGGAUCGAGCUCGCAUAUUAAAAAGGUGUACGUUUGUUUUAUUGUUGUUGGUUGCCCUCACUUGUAGGGAUGUUAUUUUUCUUUGGAAGAUUGGGUUUCUCAUUCUGUUUCAUUUCUCACAAGAGUUUUUCCAUUAAUUAUUCCAUUUUCAUUGUGAUGCUUGUCUUGGUGCUUUCAUAGCUUCAGAGGUAUAUGAAAUAGCUGCACUUGAAGUACUGCAUAGACCAUGCUCUUACCGUAUAUAGUUGUGAAGUUGUGGGAAUUUGUGGUACAAGGUUUGGAGUCCUAGGUGUUAUAUAUUUUGCUACUUCGAACAUGAAUCCUUUCAGAUUGGUGAUUUAGUUUCUCAAUUUGUUCUAUUUCGUGGUUUCCAGUACUUUUGUGUAACCAGAUGGUUUAUGGACGAAUCGGUUAUUUAUAUAUGAAGUUCUUGUUUAGUGUAAUCAUGUACGAGAUCUGAACUGUUACAUACGGGUAAGCUAAGUCUUCUGGAUACUCUUUCCUUAUUCAAAGAGCAGCAUGUAUCUUUUGGCACAAGUGUUCUCUAAGCUUGAAGUUUGUUGUCUCAACUUAAGUUUGCUAUCUAACAUCAUGACAUAUGUUGUUUGGGUCAUGCCUCAGGUUCAUGAUUAUUUUAUGGGAAUCUACUUUCAAUUGUCCCAUUAGGUGCGAGGUUGUGUUUUGAGGUUAUAGUGUUUUCUAUAUGUAUGCGCUGAAGUAAAUUGUUGGUUUAUCUAUGUUUGGUAGCAAAGUGAAGCAUUUGUGAUUAAGUGUAAAUUGUCGUUUUUUUUGGGUGGCAGCAAAUGUGUUAUGUGGGAUCCUCUUGAAGUUGUUAAGUGAGAGUGGUGGCAGUCUUUAGCCACCUCAUCCUUUCUACUGUUCUAUUUGGAUAGCGAUUACAAAUUAUAGAGUGCUUGUUCGUCUUUUAUUCCAUGUUAACGGUCUGUUCUUCGCUUCUGAUAUCCGAUUGAUUUUUCUGAAGUUUGCUAGUACAUUUAUAUGGUGCUAAUGGAUUCCUGCUUCAUGGUCCGUAUUUGGUCAGUAAUGUGGAAAUAUUUUCUUUGCGGUGUCACUUUGGUGUUCGUACCUGAAGCAGAAGUACAAACUUGAAAUAUGCAUCCAAUAUUCAAAACUAAUAUAGCUAUAUAUCGAAAGAAGCUGAGCAGAAGUAUUCUGUAAUCCACCAGGGUUGAAUCUCAGAAUCACCAUUAUCAUAUGUCAACAAAUGCAAGGAUACACAAUAUGAUAUAUCGGAAGAAGCUGAGCAAGAGUAUUCUGUAAUCCACCAGGGCUGAAUCUCAGAAUCACCAUUAUCAUGUCAACAAAUGUAAGGAUACACAACAUGACACAUGAAACUCAUUAAACUAAAAACGAGGAAGAAUGUUUGGCCAAUUGAUUUUGCUUUCCUCUAGAUAUUAGUGAGCUAUUACUUACGCACUCUUUCAAGGGUGGCUGCUUCUAGGCAAACCUCCUGGCUUUCUCUGCACCCCUACCUCCUUUAUCACUGAGCGGUCAUUUAGGGGCCUUAGCUGGUGAUCCAGGCUGUUCCCUCUUGACGCUGAAGCUUAUCCCCCAUCAUCUCACUGGCCGUUAUUUGGAGGUCAUAUCUAGUAUUACUCGACUUGGUACCGCUCUCGCGGUCCGCACCGAAACAGUGCUUUACCCCUAGAUACGCAGUCAACUGCUGCGCCUCAAUGCAUUUCGUGGAGAACCAGCUAGCUCUAGAUAUGUGGUUUUUGAUUCUGGUUUCGUGAAAUGAUGAGAAAUCUUUAUGUUAAGCAUAUGUUGGGGGCUUGUAUUGGGCCUUUGAUUCUUGAUUCUCGUUGUUUUAGUGUUUAGAAUUUUGCUUUCUUUCGCUGAUUGAUAUUCUCUUGGCUACCACAGUUACUGCUUCUCCUUAUGAUGAAUGUGAAGAUAUAUGCCGUGAGAUUUUUUUGGCGACAGGUUUGGGCUGUUCAGUCUUUCCUAUAGGGUUUUAUUGCAGUUCCUUAUGUUGGACAACGCUGAUGCCACCUUCUUUCUUUACAUUUUAAUUCUCAGGUGUUGUUGGAUUUUGCAUGGCUUGUAUGAAGCUCACAUGCAAGCUGAGAAGUGAGAAGUUAAAAAUUAUUGAUUGUGAUUUUGUACAUACACAUCUUUUUAUGGGAUGGGUCUUCAUAGUGCUUGUUCUCGAAGGACUAGUUUAGCUGGGGCCUGGGUGUCUAGAUCUGACAUCAAUAGAGUUGGGGAUUAGAUGCUGGUUGGAACAAGAUUUCUUCCCCCUGUUCCCUCCAGUAGAUGGCAUCUUCAUCGAGGAUAGUCUGUUGAUUUACAUCUUUCAGAUCUUUGAUUCGACUCAGCUACAUUCCUUUUAUUUCUAUGUUCGAGUUGCUUUUCUUAUAUGAUUUGAUUGAACAACUAAUUAUUUGGCCCAUUUUUUUGUAGUGCAUUUUCUCUGAUAUAGUGUUAACUUUAGUUGGGAAGUUGGUGUGUUAGUCCUCUGCUACAAUCUCUGUUCAGUAGGUACUCUUUAUGUUCCUGUCUGUUGUAUUGGAGUUUCUUUGAUUUAUGAAGAGGAAUAUAUGUUAACAAUUUGUAGUGAACUUUUUCCUUUUUUUUCCAGGGGUGUUAAAGUCAAGUAUUGCUCACUUUCUAUAGGACAUUAUGUAAGCAUAUGCAUUGUGAGAAUCCAUGUAUCUGGAUGAUUUUCCUCCUGGUAAUUCUUUUUGGACUAAUGACUCAUGCAUUGUGAGAAUCCAUUUAUCUGGAGGAUUUUCCUUCUGGUUAUUCUUUUUGGACUAAUGACUGAUGCAUUGUGAGAAUCCAUUUAUCUGGAUGAUUUUCCUUCUGGUAAUUCUUUUUGGACCAAUGAGUGAGAUUUUAUUGGUCAUUGGUGCAUUUUGGAAUAUGAGAUUGUCUUUCAGAUAUUAUUCUAUCUUCAGGAUUGGGAGUUGCAUCAGGAAUGAUGGGAAUGGUGAAAGGGUUGGAAUUUUGGAUUAUCUUGGAUUUCGUAGUUGCAGGAUGGCUUUGGAUUUUUUUUGUAGGAAGUCUGUGUAAUGAAAAUGUGUUAUGUAAAGUAUGCACAAUCCAUUAUGGUAUUCUGGCUUGCUAGAUUGAGCUCUUAUAGCAAGCAGUGCAUGUGUAGUUUGUCUGAGGGUUGUUAGCCGUGGUUGAUUAAAUGCAGGCAUCCUUCUCUGCCGUAAAUAGUUUCUCACUCUGUCUGAAUCUCCUCUAGUAGUUGUUUGAUGUGCAAUAUAUGAACAAGCUGUCAUAGACUAUGUUCUUAUAGCAUAUGCUGGGUAUGUUCUUAUAGCAUAUGCUGGGUAGUCCGGGACCUUAUGGUAGGUUUGUACUUUGGAGUCUCAUGUUCUAGAUUUUUGUUGGCCACUUUGAACAUGAAGAUCUUUCUAGGUUGGUGUGUGCUAUAGUUUUUCUUUUACAUCAUUACAGUAAUGGUGUAUACUAUGUAUCUGUAUAUGUCUCCAAUGCUGUUGUAUGACCAGGUUAUAUCAUAGGCGAGUUGACUAUUAAUUUUUUAACAGGAAAAGCUGCUCGCUAUGGUGAUUGGAGUUCAUGUGGAGUGUAUGCGUGAGGUUUAUUUGAGAAGGCUAAUUCAUUUAGAUUCUGUAGAUUUACACCCCUCUAACUAAAGACCAACCUGGCUAAUUCAUUUAGAUUCUGUAAAUUUACACCCCUCUAAUUAAAGACCAAACUGGCUAAUUCAUUUACAUUCUGUAGAUUUACACCCCUCUAACUAAAGACCAGGGUGUAUGUUUGGUUGAAAGGUUCUCUUAAGUUUGAAGUUCACUUGUUAACUUCAGUUUGUUAUCUAUGAUGCAGUAUUUGGGUCAUGCCUCAGGUUGAUGAUUUUCUAGAUACUUAUAAUAUUUUUGGAAUAUGAGGUUGAUGUUUUGAGGGUCUCAUGUUUUUCUGUCUAAAUAAGAUUUAGAGUACUUUGGGUAUCUGCAGAGUGUCAUUUUAUCUGUAGUUGGCAGCAAAUGAUAAUGAGUCUUAAGAAAAAGAUGUUAGUCUUCAAGACCGCUAAAUUUGUCCUGCUUCAAUUUCAUAUUGUCAUGUUAACUUUUCAGGGAUUCAAGUGGUUGCAUAUACUUUAGGGUACAUGUUUUUAGGCUCUAUAUUUUGUUUUGAGGCCUACCAACUUAAAGAUGUUCGUCUUCCAGACCGUUAAAUUUGUCCUGCUUCAAUUUCAUAUUGUCAUGUUAACUUUUCAGGGAUUCAAGGGGUUGCAUAUACUUUAGGGUACAUGUUUUCAGGCUCUAUAUUUUGUUUUGAGGCCUACCAACUUGAGCAAAACUUAAUGCAGCUAUAUCGUAUCCCAGCUCCUGCUCUGAGGGCUACAGCUUACUCUCUGCAAAGAAAUAUUUCUAUCAAUAUUGGACUCAUUUUCUUAUUGAGUUCUGAUGUUGAUUGUAUAGGCUUCAUCAAUUUCUAGGGUUAUACAUUUUUAGCAUUGGUUGCAUUAACGUUUUAUGGUUUCUUGUCUAAUGGGACGUCUUGUACAUUCUUCAUUGAUGCUAUACUCUUGAAUUUUCAGUACCAAUUUUAGAUAUGCUCUUGGUACAUUUGGAUUAUAAUUUUUUAUGGCUUUUGGCUUCUCAUGUGUGCAUGCACGACAUUUUUUUGGUUGGUUUUCUGUCAGGAAAAUGUAGGUUGCUUUGCUGAUUGGAAGGAACUUUUUGUAUUAUCUGGCUUUCAAAAUUAGGGUUUACUUUCAUGUCAUAUGGUCUAUAUGCCAUUUCAGAUGUCAUAUUGGUAGGUUGUGUUGGACUUGUACGGUUGCUGAUUUUGUGCUCCUCACUGUAUCGAUAUGGUCUUUGUAGUGUCAUCAACUAUUGGCUGAACGUGAUGGAUUUCGAGUGGUCUUGUGCUGAUUUAAGCUGUCUAUCAUUUCUUUUGGGGAUGAUCUGCUAGUAUAUCAUCAGCUCUUUGGAGAUCUGCUGUACUAAUAUGGAAAUCGAUUUUCUUUUUGAUAUUUCAGCUGAUUCUGGACCUUGCUUUGUGCUUCAUGUUCAUCUCAGAUGAUUUUAGAUUCUUCACACAAAGUUCCAUGUGAAUGUGUCUCAGAUAUGUGUCAUAAUCUUACAGUUGUUGUCAUGACUAUUGGAAUGAUGUUUUGGAUUUGGCUGGACUUUGCUUGCAAGCUGGUUUGUUCACCAAAGUCAUUUAGUUAUAACUUGUAUAUGCCGUAUAUUAUCCUUGAAUUCGUUAACAUGUGAUGGUGACAUCGAGCUGCAAUGCUGAUGGAUCAGAAAACUUUGCUCAACUUUUGAAGUAUAUAACUUUGUAUCAGUUUGUAUUUUGAUAUAUUUCUUUAUCGUGCACCAAGUUCAAUCUUCUGCUUGAUGCCCAUGUUGAUCUUGAUGUUACUGAAUGUUUAACUGAGUAUAUGGUGUCGGUGUCUUUCUUUCCCGCUUCUAGCUGUGUUCAUCUUAUGGCUGAUCUCAUUGAUUAGCCUUCACCCAUGUGGCCAUGUUAUGAUUUUGUGACGGGAAGAUUCUUUACUUUGGUAUCUACAUAUUUGGUUCCCGUUUUAGGUUUUGCUUCAGUAGAUAUGUUGUGGUGUACUGCUUAAUUGGGCUUCAGUUAUCUAUGUCCCAGUUUUGGAGGUCCGUCCUGAAUUUAUCUUUUUGCAAAAACUACCAAGUUUACCAUGUUUUUAAUAUAGUCUGGAGUUUGGACUGUGUCUUUCUGCUUCCAGUUCAUAUUUAUAUUACUUUUUGUUUGAUUACUGCCAGCGGCGCAUGUUAUUAGUUGAGGGACUAGAAAAGAGGAGCCUUUUGCUUUUAACUUAUGGAGGAACUGUUUUCUUUUGUGGUUUUUUUUGGUUGCAGAUGUUGUGCUCCUUGAUAUUUGAGGGAGGCUCGAUGGGAAAUAACAGCCUUAGCUCCUUCUAACGUGCUGUUCUCUUCAUUCGUUAAUAGUUCUCCACGACUUCACUCCCUUUUCCACAUGCUUUUGGUUAGUGGUGGAUCCAGCGAAUGAACAAACUGAACCCACACGGAUCCGGGUAAAAAACUGUGAGAAACCAAAAAAUAAAGGAAACUAAAUUGAUGGUAUAUAUAAAGAAACACGCGUGAUAUCUUAUAAUAUGACACUCAGCGUUGAACUUUGGUCUUUUGGGUACUUGUGUUCGCUUAUUCGGGGUCGCGGGUUCGAUCAUUGAAGGAUGUUUUGUUUCAUUGCUUCUUAUCUUCUUUUUCUUUCCUUUUUCUUAUGUUUUGUUUGAUUUCUUUUUUUUUUCUCUUUCCUCUCUUUCUUGAGGGGAAUUGUCUUCCUUUAUCUUAUGUUUAGUUUCUUUUAUUUUUUCUUUGUUCACCAUUUACUUUUUAGCUCUCCUUUUUAUCUAUAGAUCUCUCUCCCACCCGGUACAAAAAUAAUAGAAGGUAAUGGUUAAUGAAUUUGGUUUGAUUUCCAUUCUCUCCCCAUUUCCCUUGGUUAAGCAAUAAAUUAAUCAUGCAUUUAGUCCAAAAAAAAAAAACUAUGUUGAUUACUUGAUUUAGUGCUCAGAUAUAUUUAUGAGUUGUGUUAAAAUGUGAAUGAUAAAUGUUCUAUAUUCUUGUAUGCAUUUUAUAAACUUAAUGUGCAAAUAUUAAUUGGAAGAAUUUGACACAUUACUUCUAAAACAAAUUAUUGACAAAGCUUAAUAUCACCCAAAAUGCGAAGAGCUUAUUAGUGUUAUUGUGUUGAUUCGUUGUCAAUUAGUCAUUUAAGAUUUCAUAUUUGUGCUAAGUUGUUAAUAUAUAUAUAUUUUUUUCAUGUUUCAUAUCAUGGAUGUAUAAUUUUUUUUAAUGUAAUAAAAAAUGGAAUCUCCACUAAGUACAAUUGUUGAAAGCUAUCCUUUUCUUUAGGAAUCGAAUCUCUAGAUAGUAAAAUGUUAUUUAGAAUUUAUAUUCGAACAACUUUGAACCCAUGUGGUUUAGUUCUUGUAUUCGCCACUGCUUUUUGUUGAUACACAAUUAUAAACAACUUGAUUGAUAAGAAAGAUGCUUGGGAAGGAUGUUGUUCAUUCCUUUUUGUUUGUUCCUAUUUCUUUUUGUGUUGCAGCUUGAUUGAUAAGGAAGAGGUUUGGGAAAGGACGUUGUUCAUUCCUUUAUGUUUGUUCCUAUUCCUUUUUGUGUUGGUUGCUAAUAUCUCUACCUACAUUUCUUCUUUCCUUGAUAGUUGAUACUUAUAUUUUUCUGUAUUGAAUAUCGACUCGCACUUCAUUUGUGAUUCUUUGUGGACGUUUGAAUUCUUAUUUCAGCAUAUUAGAAGAACAUACUACAGGUGUAUGCUUUCAUACUAUUUUCGUAUGCUCUCAGUCUUGGGUGACAUAUCUAGUAUUCUUGUAUUUUGAUCUAUGUUGAGUUUGAAAGGUCCCUAGUUUUUAUAUUUAUUGGUUUACUGGUUAAUUGGUCAUAUCCUGAUGUUAAAUUUGUCAGUAGUUUUACUUGGUUGGGCUCUUACCUUGUAUGGCUUCUGGGAAAUCAAUGUCGAUGGUCAACUAGUGAUUUAAGCUCAUAAAUUUCUGGCAUAUUUUUGUGAUUCAUUUUAUGAUGAUGCACGCGAUUAGUUAUUUAUUAGAUAUUCCUUGAGUCUUUUCUUUGGCGCGGACUGAUUACCUUGUAAUUCUAUCUGCUGCAUUAAUUUUGCAGCUUCAUGAUCAUUUUGUCGAUUUUUCUUCUGUUCUACGCGAUUCUGCAUUGUAGCCUUGGAAGUUCUUGAUUAAGGUUGUAGCUGUUUUGUUUUCAUGGGGAAUCAUUGGAGCACAAUACGACUCUUGAAUGGUAACAAAUCGUUAUUUCCAAUGUUUGCUGGGAUGAUUUGAUAAUAAUGAUAUGUUACUAUUCAAUUCUCAUAUCCAAGGGUUUGUGUUGCAUUAGUAACUUCAUCCGUUGACAAAGCUGUUUUCUGUUUCUUUUAUUUGAUUUUUUAUUUUGUUCUUGUUUUUGUGUUAAUUAGUUCUUGUUGUAAAGCAUUUGGUUGCUGCUAAAUCCGUUGGCUCGGGGAUAUAUUGUUGGUAAGAGGUGUCUGCAAGUGUAGAGGGAGUUGUUUGUCCUGUUAGCCUCCAUUUUCUUGGUAUACUCCAUACAUAUGCUCCGUUAGAUUGUUUUUUUCUUGUUGCAGAUUGUUUCUGCUAUGAUGGUGCUCAUUUGUCAAUGAGGCUUCAGUUCUGGUACAUUUGCAUAGUCUUUCAGUCGUCUUAAGGUAUUUAAUGUUUUGGAAUUCACUGUAGUGCUCAUGUCUGGUCUUUGGUUCUAAACAGUUUAUGAGCACUUUGGCAAUUGAUUCCUAUUGCUGAAGAAGUGGAUGUGGUACUGUCAACUGUGUGCCCUACCUUUGUAAGAGCUGGAUAUUUUCUUGUUGCAGAUUGUUUCUGUUAUGAUGGUGUUCAUUUGUCAAUGAGGCUUCAGUUCUGGUACUUGUGCAUAGUCUUUCAGUCAUCUUAAGGUAUUUAAAUUUUCGAAUUCGUGAUAGUGCUCAUGUUUGGUCUUGGUUCUAAACAGUUUAUGAGCACUUUGGCAAUUGAUUCCUAUUGCUGAGGAAGUGGUUGUGGUGCCUUGUGUCCUACCUCUGUAAGAGCUGGAUAUUCUGGUUAGCAAUCAGAAAAUUUGUUUUCCCUUAUGCUGCAUUUUUUGUUUCGGGAUUCGUGGUAGCGCUUAUGUCUGGUUUGGUUCUGAAUAGUUGAUGAGCACUUUGGCAGUUGAUAUCUAUUGCUGAAGAAGUGGUUGUGGUGCCUUUUAUCCUACCUUUGUAAGAGCUGGUUAGCAAUCAGAAAAUUUCUUUUCCCUUAUACUGCAACUUUUUAAUAAUUUAGUACUCCUGUAGUAUGCGAUUUGUCAUCCUAUUGUCGCUGAUGUAGUGGUAUAGACAUAUAAUUUUUCCUUCUUUUUCCUUACCAUUUCUGUCAUAUAUGUAAAGGUAUAUGCUUUAAACUCUGUUGUUUACUUCUACCAUUGUUUUUUAAGGAUCAUGUUACACUAAAAUAGAAUAUCAUGUAAGUGCACCUCACAUCUCUCUUGAUGUUAUGUUCUCUGUUUAUUUCCCUUCUUCAGACUAGGUUUUCUGUGAUGGGGUUUUUUCUAGUAGUAGAAAUGAUCAAGUGACAAGAGGAUUGAAAUUUUGGUGUUGUUUCUACUGUAGUUCUUCAAGAGAUACAGGCUUUAGGGAAAUCAUAUGGAUAUUGGUCGGUUGGGUCAAAGUUACGGCCUUACAGCAUUGUAGUGAGACCAUUUUGCUUUGGGAUGAGCCGGUAUGUAUGAUUAAAUUUCUUGUGGAGUGUGACUAUGUAGUACACUGUACACGAUUUGGACUGUUCCUGUGAGGCUUAUUUGGGUAAGCCAAAUCUUUUGGAUCUUGUAGUUUUACUUUUUCCCUAUUUAAAGACCGGAAUGUAUGUUUGGCAGAUUUGUUCUCUUAAAUUGAAGUUUGCUGUCUUAAGUUGCUAUCUAAAAUGUGGUGGUUGGGUCAUGCCUCAGGUUUGUGAUGAUCUUAUACUUGGUCUGCUCAUGGGGAUGUAGCUUUAUGUGAAUCGAAUCAGGUUCAUGUUCUAACCUUUGUUUGUGGGUCAAUACUCAAUACUGUCUCCACUAAUGUUUUGGUUUUCUUUUGACUCCGAGUAGUCUUCACUGUUAGUUAUUGAUUUUCAGUUUUAUGUUGUGUGUUUGUCGUAUUAAAUCCUCGGAUUCAUCGACAUGAGAGUGGUUACUGGUGUUAUUUUGUUUCUGCUUCUGAUUCUCGGGUAUAUAACUAUUUUAGUGUUUGAAUAUCUCAUGCAUAUUCCAAGUUUUUUCUGCUUUAGGGGUGUGUGUUGAUUUUAACGUUACUGGUUGUCUCAUCUAUCAUGCAUAUUCCAAGUUUUUCCUGCUUUAGGUGUGUUGAUUUUAACGUUACUGGUUGUCUCAUCUAUCAUGCAUAUUCCAAGUUUUCCUGUUUUAGGGGUGUUGAUUUUAACGUGACUGGAUGUUUACUGGUGUUUUGGUGCUGCCAUCUCUCUUUCGACUCCAGGUAUUGUGCUUAUCUUAUGGUUGAGGUCAUUGGUCAGCUUCUCACCUGCUGUGAUUUUGCGAUGUAAAUAUUUUCUUUUCUUCUUUGCAGAUAUAUUUCACCUUUUCAGUUUUAGUUAAGCAGGUUCCUUCUUGAAAAAACAAAUUUGAAUGUGAUGCUAUGAUGGUGGUAUUACAAACUGAGCUUUUGCUUAUCCAUAUUUAGCUCUUGGUUUUGUCCUGAAUUGGUGUGUGCAGGCACAUGCCGUGUUAUGGAGUUGGACUUUUCCUACUUCCAAAAUUCCGAACCCAAUCGUUUCUGUGCUACUGAAGCCUAAUUGGCUGGAUCGGGAGGUUUUUCUGAUUCAGAAAUAUGUCGUUUCACUGCGUAAACCCUUCCUGCUUCAUGUUACAUGAUGUUUAGUUUAGUCACAGGAAAGUUGGCCGACUUUCUUUGUGUUUACAAUGGCUUAUAUAUACUACGUUAUUACUUAUCUUGCUAGACGAAAUGUAUGUGUAGUCUGUCUCUUGGUUGCUAGUUGUGGUCACUUAAUGGACAAGCCCUGCUCUGCUCUAUCUCAACUUCUUUUAAGACUAGGUUAGCUGUUUAUCUGCAUCAUCAUGGGUGGUGCUUACAGCAUAUAUUGUGUACUUCGGGAAAUUGUGGUGUGAGGUUCGAAGUCCUAUGUUCUGGAUAUCUGUUGGCUACUUUGUACAUAUGUUGUUUGAUGGGAGUGAUUUGGAGCUGUUAUGAUCAUUUAAUUUUGAUUUUUAUAGAUUUACUCCUCACCUGUGAAA
Molecule: long non-coding RNA, 15602 nt
Organism: Beta vulgaris subsp. vulgaris (sugar beet)
Lineage: Eukaryota; Viridiplantae; Streptophyta; Magnoliopsida; Caryophyllales; Amaranthaceae
Exons: 3
Source: RefSeq, a predicted model, not a curated record